RNAcentral lists this transfer RNA (85 nucleotides) under Felis catus (domestic cat). It matches the Rfam family "tRNA". Rfam says of the family: Transfer RNA (tRNA) molecules are approximately 80 nucleotides in length. The record is from Rfam by way of RNAcentral. Lineage: Eukaryota; Metazoa; Chordata; Mammalia; Carnivora; Felidae.
GCCCAGGUGGCUCAGUCGGUUAAGCGUCUGACUUUGGCUCAGGUCAUGAUCCCGCGGUUGGUGGGUUCGAGCCCCGCAUCGGGCU